UUCCUUAGAUUGCGUUUACUUUUGAUGUGUUUGUAGAUCUAAUUAACAAUUGUCAUUGAUAUGCAAAAUUCAUGAGAUAAUAGGCGACUUUUAGCAAUAUUUCAUUAUUCAUAUUCAGUAAUUUUAAAAUAUUUUAAAUAAUUUUUUAUUGUUUUUAAUAUUUUUUAAAAAAAAAAUUGACACGAAGCCUAAGACUAAGCAGAAAGCUUAGAGUAAGAGCUGGGCUCGAGCU
This 232-nucleotide long non-coding RNA is filed under the name Elaeis guineensis (African oil palm). RNAcentral describes it as "long non-coding RNA (EGUI_LNC036400)". The record is from RNAcentral. Lineage: Eukaryota; Viridiplantae; Streptophyta; Magnoliopsida; Arecales; Arecaceae.